Molecule: ribosomal RNA, 318 nt
Filed under: uncultured eukaryote
Lineage: Eukaryota
Description: partial 18S ribosomal RNA
Rfam family: Eukaryotic small subunit ribosomal RNA
Source: RNAcentral
CCCUUAGAUGUUCUGGGCUGCACGCGUGCUACACUGAUUACUUCAACAAGUGUUUUAACUGGAGAGUUCGCGUAAUCCUGAAAUGUUAUCGUGAUGGGAGUAGAGUAUUGUAUUUGUUAAUCUUUAACGAGGACUUCCUAGUAAGUGUAGGUUUAUUUGUUUUUUUUUUUACGUCCCUGCCCUUUGUACACACCGCCCGUCGCUCCUACCGAUUGAAUGCUCAGGUGAGCCAUUCGGACUUUCAUCAUGCUGGUUUCCAGUUUUGAUGAAGGAAAGUCUUGCGAACCUUAUCAUUUAGAGGAAGGAGAAGUCGUAACA